ACACGCCGCGUGAGGGAUCCAAGGCCUCUGGGCUGUAAACCUCUUUUCUCAAGGAAGAAGAACUGACGGUACUUGAGGAAUAAGCCACGGCUAAUUCCGUGCCAGCAGCCGCGGUAAUACGGGAGUGGCAAGCGUUAUCCGGAAUUAUUGGGCGUAAAGCGUCCGCAGGCGGCCUUUUAAGUCUGUUGUCAAAGCGUGGAGCUUAACUCCAUUUGAGCAAUGGAAACUGGGAGGCUUGAGUGUGGUAGGGGCAGAGGGAAUUCCCGGUGUAGCGGUGAAAUGCGUAGAUAUCGGGAAGAACACCAGUGGCGAAGGCGCUCUGCUGGGCCAUCACUGACGCUCAUGGACGAAAGCCAGGGGGGCGAAAGGGAUUAGAUACCCCUGUAGUC
RNAcentral lists this ribosomal RNA (389 nucleotides) under uncultured cyanobacterium. RNAcentral describes it as "bacterial SSU rRNA". It matches the Rfam family "Bacterial small subunit ribosomal RNA", at positions 392 to 795 of the family's 1533-position model. Lineage: Bacteria; Bacillati; Cyanobacteriota. The record is from RNAcentral.